Afipia sp. P52-10 is the source of this 159-nucleotide regulatory RNA element. It matches the Rfam family "speF leader". Rfam says of the family: This family is a putative regulatory RNA structure that is found upstream of the speF gene encoding ornithine decarboxylase in Agrobacterium tumefaciens and other alpha-proteobacteria. NCBI's taxonomy places the organism in Bacteria, Pseudomonadati, Pseudomonadota, Alphaproteobacteria, Hyphomicrobiales, Nitrobacteraceae. The record is from Rfam.
UACCGGCUUUCCACCAGCCGGCGCGGGCUACCGAAGAGGCUUGUCCUUCAUUGCCAGGCGUGCGGACGGGAAAUCCCAUCCAAUCCACGGCAGCACAGUUCGGGUUCGAUUUUUCGGCCUUGUCGCGCCUCCAUCGUGCGGCACAGACCGGAGCAUCUC